Molecule: ribosomal RNA, 433 nt
Filed under: uncultured bacterium
Lineage: Bacteria
Description: partial 16S ribosomal RNA
Rfam family: Bacterial small subunit ribosomal RNA
Source: RNAcentral
AACGAACGCUGGCGGCAUGCCUAACACAUGCAAGUCGAACGAGACCUUCGGGUCUAGUGGCGCACGGGUGCGUAACGCGUGGGAACCUGCCCUUAGGUUCGGAAUAACUCCCCGAAAGGGGUGCUAAUACCGGAUAAUGUCUUCGGACCAAAGAUUUAUCGCCUUUGGAUGGGCCCGCGUUGGAUUAGCUAGUUGGUAGGGUAAAAGCCUACCAAGGCGACGAUCCAUAGCUGGUCUGAGAGGAUGAUCAGCCACACUGGGACUGAGACACGGCCCAGACCCCCCGGGGAGGCAGCAGGGGGAAAUAUUGACCACUGGGCGAAGGCCUGACCCAGCCUCGCCGCGUGAGUAAAAAGGCCUUUGGGGUUGAAAAUCUUUUUUCCCCGGGAUUAAAAUCACGGUCCCGGGAAAAAAAGCCCCGCCUAACUCCGUC